UUGGCGGGCAGUGGUGGCGCACGCCUUUAAUCCCAGCACUUGGGAGGCAGAGGCAGGCGGAUCUCUGUGAGUUCGAGGCCAGCCUGGUCUACAGAGUGAGUUCCAGGAAAGGCACAAGGCUAUACAGAGAAA
Molecule: non-coding RNA, 132 nt
Organism: Peromyscus maniculatus bairdii (prairie deer mouse)
Lineage: Eukaryota; Metazoa; Chordata; Mammalia; Rodentia; Cricetidae
Source: RefSeq, a predicted model, not a curated record